AAUCAACGCUGGCGGCGUGCCUAACACAUGCAAGUCGAACGCGAGAGGGGCUUCGGCCCCGAUUGAGUGGCGAACGGGUGAGUAACGCGUGGGUGACCUACCUUCGAGUGGGGGAUAACGUCCCGAAAGGGACGCUAAUACCGCAUAACAUCCUGCUUUUGAAUGGGUGGAGAUCAAAGCCGGGGAUCGCAAGACCUGGCGCUUGAUGAGGGGCCCGCGUCUGAUUAGCUAGNGGUGAGGUAACGGCCCACCAAGGCAACGAUCAGUAUCCGGCCUGAGAGGGCGGACGGACACACUGGGACUGAGACACGGCCCAGACUCCUACGGGAGGCAGCAGUGGGGAAUUGUUCGCAAUGGGCGCAAGCCUGACGACGCAACGCCGCGUGGAGGAUGAAGGUCUUCGGAUUGUAAACUCCUGUUGCCCGGGACGAAUGGCUCCGACCUAACACGUCGGAGUGUGACGGUACCGGGUGAGGAAG
This 479-nucleotide ribosomal RNA is filed under the name uncultured bacterium. RNAcentral describes it as "bacterial SSU rRNA". It matches the Rfam family "Bacterial small subunit ribosomal RNA", at positions 29 to 490 of the family's 1533-position model. The record is from RNAcentral.